Molecule: non-coding RNA, 74 nt
Organism: Tephrocybe sp. NHM501043
Lineage: Eukaryota; Fungi; Basidiomycota; Agaricomycetes; Agaricales; Lyophyllaceae
Source: the annotation of a GenBank genome assembly
AACUACCUAGCUCAAUGGCUAGAGUAUCUGUUUAUAUUUGCAGGAGGUCCCAGGUUUAAUUCCUGGUGUGGUUA